Choloepus hoffmanni (Hoffmann's two-fingered sloth) is the source of this 126-nucleotide small nuclear RNA. The record is from Ensembl. Lineage: Eukaryota; Metazoa; Chordata; Mammalia; Pilosa; Megalonychidae.
GUGUCCCUUUCCCCUUAGUGAAUAUGUUUUGGUGGCACAUAUACUAAAGCCAGAAUAAUACAGAAAAAAUAAGCAUGACCCAUGCACAAGAAUGACAUGUGAAUUCCUGAAGUUUUUCACAAUUUA